This is a non-coding RNA of Schistosoma mattheei, 45 nucleotides long. Lineage: Eukaryota; Metazoa; Platyhelminthes; Trematoda; Strigeidida; Schistosomatidae. The record is from Rfam.
AUCCAACUGACGAGUCCCAUAUAGGACGAAACGCGCGUCCUGGAU